AUGACUUUUCAUUUUCAGUUUGGAUUUAACAUGUUUCCGGAGAUUGUAAGACCUUUCAAUAACCACUAUAGAUGUUUUUCUGUAUCAAUGUUACCGGGUACAUAUCGACGAGAUGUAGAACGUGGAGGAAAAAUAAUCAUGCCACCUUCAGCUUUAGAACACCUUACAAGAUUAAACAUUAGAUUUCCCAUGCUAUUUAAAUUAAGUAAUGAAAAAACCAAUAGAAUUACUCAUUGUGGUGUUUUAGAAUUUGUUGCAGAUGAAGGAAGAGUUUACUUACCUUGUUGGAUGAUGUAUAAUCUUUUAUUACAAGAAGGAGAUCUAAUAAAUGUUGAAAGUGUAAAUUUACCUGUUGCAACAUUUUCACGUUUUCAACCUCAAUCUGAAGAUUUUCUAGAUAUUACAAAUCCUAAAGCUGUUUUAGAAAAUGGAUUAAGAAAUUUUGCUUGUCUCACAACAGGUGAUAUUAUUGCCAUAAAAUAUAAUCAAAGAAUAUAUGAAAUGUGUGUUUUGGAAACAAGACCUGGCCCAGCAGUUACUAUCAUAGAAUGUGAUAUGAAUGUUGAAUUUGCUCCUCCACUGGGAUAUGUAGAAAAAGAAACUAAAAAGGAUGAAAAUGUAGUAGAUCCUGCAGAUUUAAUGCCAGCCCCAUCUGGUUUUGUACCAUUCAAAGGAGAGGGUAAUAGAUUGGAUGGCAAAAAACGUAGAGAUUUUGCAAAACCAGAAGUAACUACAAAUAAACCAGCUUAUGUUAGAGGAAUACCAGAUUAUGAUUACAAAAUAGGAACACUUACAUUCUUGCGUAUUAUUAAGCCUGUAAAUAAUAAAGAGGCAAAAGAUCAAGAUGAAUUUAAAGCAUUCACUGGUGAAGGUUUUUCUCUUAGAAAGUCAAAAUAAUUAAAUAAUUAGUGAUUUAUUUAUUUUCAUACAAUUACAUGUAUUUGUAAAAGCUUGCAAUAAGAAAUUUAAUCUAUCAAUGGACCCCAGAAAUAUUUACUGGGUUUUGUAGGAUCUUCUGUUAAGAAAAAUUCACGACCCAAUAUUAUAAAUUCUUUGGAGCUAAUUUUACCAUCAUCAUUAAUAUCAAUAUGACUGAAAGAGAUAACUGCAUCCUAUAAUAAAUAUUUUAAUUUUAUUAUUUUUUUUUUUCAUAUUAAUUAUUAUAAAAAAUAUUAUACAAAAAUAUAUAAUCUUACAUACAUCAUGUGUAAGUCCUAAACAUUGGAAAAAUAAUUUAUAUUCUUGUAUAGAAAUUUCACCAUUAUGGUCUUUAUCUACUGCCUGCAAUUUUUUUUAGAUAAUAUAUUUAAAAUAUUUUUUAAUAUUAUUGUUUUAUAUAAAAAUAUAUUUUUGAAAACAUACUUUGAAUAAAAAUGGCAAAAAAUGA
Molecule: unclassified non-coding RNA, 1387 nt
Organism: Apis florea (little honeybee)
Lineage: Eukaryota; Metazoa; Arthropoda; Insecta; Hymenoptera; Apidae
Source: RefSeq, a predicted model, not a curated record